RNAcentral lists this transfer RNA (71 nucleotides) under Loxodonta africana (African savanna elephant). It matches the Rfam family "tRNA". Rfam says of the family: Transfer RNA (tRNA) molecules are approximately 80 nucleotides in length. Their secondary structure includes four short double-helical elements and three loops (D, anti-codon, and T loops). Further hydrogen bonds mediate the characteristic L-shaped molecular structure. tRNAs have two regions of fundamental functional importance: the anti-codon, which is responsible for specific mRNA codon recognition, and the 3' end, to which the tRNAs corresponding amino acid is attached (by aminoacyl-tRNA synthetases). tRNAs cope with the degeneracy of the genetic code in two manners: having more than one tRNA (with a specific anti-codon) for a particular amino acid; and 'wobble' base-pairing, i.e. permitting non-standard base-pairing at the 3rd anti-codon position. Lineage: Eukaryota; Metazoa; Chordata; Mammalia; Proboscidea; Elephantidae. The record is from Rfam by way of RNAcentral.
GCAGUGGUGGUUCACGGGUAGAAUUCUGGCCUUGCAUGCUGGAGACCCUGGUUCGAUCCCCAGCCAGUGCU